UUCUCAUUUCUAGUGCACCAAUCUGCAACACUGAGUGAGUGUCUGGCCCCAAACCCAAAGAAAAUGGGCUCUUAUCACGUAAUGAGAAUCUGUACUCUCUCACCAAGUGUUUUUGCUUUUCCUUUGCAGAGGAACUAGCCAAAGAGCGGGGUGAGUACCCAUCCAUCCCUCAAAUGAAGGAAUUUGGGUUCUACCAGUGGGCAUGUUGAGAAGGCAAGAUGUCCUUUUCCAUCAUGCAUUGUUUUUGCUUUCGUUUGGCAGAGAAAAAAGAUGCAAAACUCAGUGAGUAUCCUGCACCAUAACAAAGCAGUUUGGGGUUCAGGCAUGGAGUAGAAAGCUCUCCCCUCUCAUCAGAUAUUGCUUUUGCUUCUUUUUCCAGGGGAACAAGCUGCAGAGCUGGCGGAACUGAAAGCAGAGCGGGAGGAAAAGAAUGCAAGGCUGGCACACCGAUCUGCAAGACUGCAGGAACUAGCCAAAGAGCGGGAGAAAAAAGAUGCAAAGCUCAGGGAACAAGCUGCAGAGCUGGCAUGGAGAAAGUUUCUGCUGCCUCACUAUACAGGUAGGUGUGUGUUAAGUUGCCCUCUGCAGUGCUUCUCCUGCCCUUGCUGGGGCAUGUUCAGGAGCCA
Molecule: long non-coding RNA, 626 nt
Filed under: Anas platyrhynchos platyrhynchos (common mallard)
Lineage: Eukaryota; Metazoa; Chordata; Aves; Anseriformes; Anatidae
Description: lncRNA (ENSAPLG00000022268.1)
Source: RNAcentral